Molecule: ribosomal RNA, 693 nt
Filed under: Staphylococcus aureus
Lineage: Bacteria; Bacillati; Bacillota; Bacilli; Caryophanales; Staphylococcaceae
Description: partial 23S ribosomal RNA
Rfam family: Bacterial large subunit ribosomal RNA
Source: RNAcentral
AUGAUUAUUGGAGGUAGAGCACUGUUUGGACGAGGGGCCCCUCUCGGGUUACCGAAUUCAGACAAACUCCGAAUGCCAAUUAAUUUAACUUGGGAGUCAGAACAUGGGUGAUAAGGUCCGUGUUCGAAAGGGAAACAGCCCAGACCACCAGCUAAGGUCCCAAAAUAUAUGUUAAGUGGAAAAGGAUGUGGCGUUGCCCAGACAACUAGGAUGUUGGCUUAGAAGCAGCCAUCAUUUAAAGAGUGCGUAAUAGCUCACUAGUCGAGUGACACUGCGCCGAAAAUGUACCGGGGCUAAACAUAUUACCGAAGCUGUGGAUUGUCCUUUGGACAAUGGUAGGAGAGCGUUCUAAGGGCGUUGAAGCAUGAUCGUAAGGACAUGUGGAGCGCUUAGAAGUGAGAAUGCCGGUGUGAGUAGCGAAAGACGGGUGAGAAUCCCGUCCACCGAUUGACUAAGGUUUCCAGAGGAAGGCUCGUCCGCUCUGGGUUAGUCGGGUCCUAAGCUGAGGCCGACAGGCGUAGGCGAUGGAUAACAGGUUGAUAUUCCUGUACCACCUAUAAUCGUUUUAAUCGAUGGGGGGACGCAGUAGGAUAGGCGAAGCGUGCGAUUGGAUUGCACGUCUAAGCAGUAAGGCUGAGUAUUAGGCAAAUCCGGUACUCGUUAAGGCUGAGCUGUGAUGGGGAGAAGACAUUG